Molecule: long non-coding RNA, 4678 nt
Organism: Oreochromis aureus
Lineage: Eukaryota; Metazoa; Chordata; Actinopteri; Cichliformes; Cichlidae
Source: Ensembl
GCCAGUGCAUCUGUGACAAAUUUAAAAUGGAAAGAGCUGUGGUUUUUACCUAACAUAGUUUUAGCAUCCCACAUUAAGGUGUCAACCGAUACUUGCUGUAGAUCAUGUUGAUGAGUUCACAUUGCAGGAUGUGAGAAUAAAAUCCUUUUAAAGGCAUAUAGUGCUGUUUACAGAGAUUCAGAGAGGCAUGCGGUAUCACAGUCAGUCUAGUGAGAAUAGAACUUGGAAUUAUCUGUGUUGGGUGUCUUGAUGAAUUAACUUAUCUAAUCUUUUGUGAUGAUAUAGUAAUAUAAUGGGACAUUUUCAAUGAUUUAAAGGAACUCUCAAUGCUGUCUUUUUGCAUAUAUUGCAAAACACACCUCAAAAGAUUCUCUUCUAUUAUCAACAGUUUAGCCCCGAGAUGAUUUUCUGGGCUACACUUAGUAACUACAAAAACAGCAGCCCAAAGCCCUUCAUGCCUGCCGCCACAGAGAAGAACUCCAGGUGCUGGGAAAAAAGACCAGAAAUAUACCAUCCAGGUGCCAGUGGUGAAUUCACAUGCCAGAGAGUAAGAAGACAUCUUAUUUUAAAUAUGAAGAUGAUUUUGAUCUACAUGAUCAUCGCAGCUCCAGCAAUGACCGCUGUGGCACAAGGGUCUUCAGAAUGCAAUCUAACUGAACCUGGGCCCCAGACAUGUUUUGGAGUUUUAGGAGAACCGCUCGUUUUUUACAUACCUACUAAACCACAUAUAAAGACAAGCUUGAAAAAGAGUACAGAUAAGAUUUUAAUGUUAAUAAAUGAUAAAUUAGUUAGUCUCAAUGAAAAAUACAAGAAUCGUACUAUAUUCUCCACAAAUGGAACAUUGAAGCUCAACAAAGCAACAAAAAAUGACUCUGGAGAGUACAGCAUGGAAACACACAAUUCUACUGAAGGUGUGUUAUUGUACACAGUUAACAUCCAUCUACAUAUACUAGCUCCUGUGUCAGAACCAGCUGUUACGCAGAUGUGUUUGUCACCAAAACAGAUGACAGUCAGCUGUUUCUCUGAAGGAGACGAAGUAGAGUUCAUUUUGUCUUUGGAUGAUAAGUUGUUGAUACAGUCUACAGCUGACGGUAUAGAAAACAACAACAUUUCAAAUGUUACCAUCAACUUACCUGGUCAGCUGAUGGGAAACCUGACAUGUGUUGCUCAAAACAAUGCCAGCAGAAAACAAACUAUCACCCACCUUACAAGCUGCACAGCUCCUGUGUCAGAACCAGCUGUUUCGCAGAUGUGUUUGUCACCAAAACAGAUGACAGUCAGUUGCUCCUCUGAAGGAGAUGAAGUAGAGUUCACCUUGUUUUUGGAUGAUAACUUGUUGAUAAAAACCCAACCCAGCAUUGCAGAAAACCACAACAUUUCAAAUGUUACCAUCAGUUUACAUGGUCAGCUGAUGGGAAAUUUUAUGUGUAUCGUCCAAAACAACAUCAGCAGAGAACAAACCAUCAUCCACCUUAUAAGCUGCACAGAGAGUCUCCCAGACUUGUUCUCUAAAAACCUAAAGAAGAAUUGUGGAUUUGAUCUGGUCCCUUAAAGAAACCGACAGCUCCUGGGCUGGGGAAAGCACGAUUGUCAUGCGGAGAUGUUUGCUGCCGGAUACUCGAUGGUCGGUUGCUUUGUGUGUCUGGCGACACUCUCGAUGGAGGACAUUGAACGACAUGUACCAAUUCGGAACCACGAUAACAGAGUUCUGGCUGAUUGAGCUGGCUCGGACCUGGCUUAUCGAAGAACAAGAAGCGGCUACAGCUGUUCAAAAUCCCAUAAGGCUGGCCGAUAUGAUAGACGAUGGGCAGGGCUGUGAGUACUCAGACUGUUUUUUUGAACGCAAUAUGGAUAAGAUCUUGGAGAAGCUCAUGGCUCUGCUAUAUGGAUAACAUCUUGAAGAAGAACAAUGGGAAUUGAGAGACCUGGUGACCAGUGACGGACAUUAGACCUUCUGUAAAAUUGGAUGCAGUUUGUUCGCACUAACCAAAACAACUACCAUCUUCAUCUCAUGCGGCCCCCCUGGCGCCAGCUGGAUGCUCAAGGCAAAAGCUGACGGGAAUAACAAAUUCUCCCUUAGAUAACAAAACUGUGUUGUGACUUUCUUCCCCCUCAUUCAAGGCCACCCGUGUCCACCGAAGAUUGUUGACUUUUGCCUAACUGAGUGAAGGGACACUUUCACAUACGCAUGUACACUGACACAUACCUACACUCACCCCUCCACCCCCUCCAAACGCCUUCGAAGCUUAUGUCUUCUAUGUUGUGAGAUGUAAUGAUUCAUGUGCUAUGUGCUGAGGUGUUUUUUUCUGUUCUCAGACUGAUCUCCCUGUUGGAGCUCAGUCUGGGGGGAGUUCUUUUUUCUCCUCGUCUUUCCUCAUUUUGUGCAUUUUCCAUUGUUAUACCUCUCUGACUUGUCUUCCCCAUGUGAUGCUGUGUAAUGAAUGUAUGGUCGGAAGGGUAAGAUGGCCCUGGCAAAAGGUCGGCAGCCUUAACCCAAUUUCCUUCGGGGUCAACCUUCGGGAUCAAUAAAGUUUUAUUGAAUUGAAUUGAAUUGAAUUGAAUUGAACAUUGUAGCCCAGUAAACUAUAUUUACAUUAUUUCAGUACUUCUUAAUGGUUUUAAUUUCUAGGUAAUAUUUCUGACCACUGCAUUGUGACCAUGGCUGUGGUAGUAAGCAUUGCCAUUCUACUCAUUCUGGCUGUGUUUCUUGGUAUCCGGAAAUUCAAAAACACAACUGGCAUUAUGACUGUUCAUGAAGAUGAAGCUGAAGAGGACGUUGUCUACUCAGAUAUUAGACUGAAGCAGCGUGCAAGAGAAACAAGAGAAACACCACCUAUUUCAAAUCAAGAUGAAAGUUAACGUUCUCCUAAACAGUCUGACAUUCUGAAACCUAAAACCUAACAUGUUGACUUUCGGUCAACUGGCUAAUAAAACUAUGCCAGUUUAGCAGUUCCAUCUUUGCAGUGAACGUGAAGGUAAACAUAUUUAACAAGCACUCACUGGAUUACUUUAAUUUUGAAGAAAACAUAAAGGGGAAAAAGUUAUUUCGAAGGCAUUUAAUAUACAUGAAAUACUUAUUUAUACUUAUUUAUAAAUGCUUUAUAUUUGAACUACAUUUUAUUUGACAUAAUUUAAAUAAACUACAUCAACCUUGUAAAAGUUCUAACCAACAUUUUACAUUUAACCUUGGAGAUUGAAUAAAAGGCUUUGGUCAGUGAUGGUGCUUUCCUUGUGUUGUGUUAAGCAGACGUGGGCUGUGCCUCAUGUUUGAGAUAAAAACAUCAGGGCUACUUUUUUCUGUGUUGUCAUGACAUUAAAACCACAAACUAUAUCCUGUUUUCACUGAGCUGCUAAACCUCUAAACCAUGUGACAUUACCUAAGCUGCACAGUUGUCAGUGAGAAAGGAAAAAUACCUGUAUAAUGCAUAAAACACUGGCUUGUUUGUUGACGAUUAUUGAUCAUAGUAGAGACUUAAGAGAUCUAAGAUCAUGAAAAGAAGGUUUUAAUUUUUUUGAAGAUGUUUUACCUCUCAUCAGGUGGAAAGUACCUGUUAUCUAACCCCUAGUAGGGGCUGUCCCUUAGGAGGUGAUCAUUGAUCCACUAUUAAUCAUCUGCGACAUGACAUUAGCCAUGGUGUGUAAAAAGGCAUGGGCCAUUACCACCAAAGGUUUUGGAUGAAACCACUGUAAGACCUUUACCCUAUCAUGUGACCUAUUGAGGGAUCUCAGGACUGCGUUGUGGGUAGCUGACAGUUGGUGUCGUAAGCUGCUCGCUCUGUUCAAAGGUGGUUGUUCACAGUGGAAAUAGAUGGUCUCUUUUGCUCCUCUUUUAAACCAACCAUCUGUCUUUUCAGUCCAAAAUGUGAACAUUGGCAUCCCUGAAAUAGUGACUUUGUCCUUUAGGUGCAGAUGUACAGCUGAGUCUUGUCCUGUCGAGGUGGCUCUUCUAUGUUGUGUCAUGUAUUUGUCGAGUGGCUAUGCCGUUUCUCCAGUGUAGAGCUCACUGCACUGCACAGCAUAUGCUUUGUUGUUUGUCUUGUGUUUUGGAUGACUGAGAACCAACAAAGACAUCAAGCAGCAAUACAAAAACAUGAAGGGCACAAACUCCCCUGCAGGCAAUUCUUCUAAGUAGUAUUUUAAUAUAGUUUCAUUAUCUUGUGUAAGGUGACAUAAAUCCAUCAAUAAUUUAUUUUAUAUGCUUGACAUGUGUGAAAGAGUCAGUACAUGGAGUUUGUGAGACACGUAUAACUGUGUGUGUUUGGUCGGCAACCUGGUGAUGCAAUUAAAAUUUCAUUGUGUUUUCAAAUGAAAAUAAAGGCUUUGAAUCUUGUUGACCAACAUUUAGAUUUUCAGUAAUAUUUGUCCAGUUUUGUGAUCCUAUGGCAUUUUUGAAGUAUAAAAAAGUCUGUGCUCUCCUCAUGUUUUACAUAAAUCUGCCUCAAAGUGUUACAUUUAUUCUCUGUAUGUAUCUCAAUCAUACAAACCAUUAUGUUUAAGUCAAGCAUAACGUAGAAAGGAACAACGCUGUAAUAACCUCGCAUUAAACAAGAAUUGGUGUUUUCCUUUACAUGUAUUAUUUGGUGAUUUGUGAUAAUUCUGUGAUGAUCUAGUAAAAGCUGUAGCCUUUAAUAGUAAAUGUAAAAAUGCAUAGUAUCAGCACUCAUCACAUGGUGGAGCC